CCUUCCCUGCUUGGUUCCCUCUAUCCCUCCCUCCCUCUCCCAGGGGUAGGGUUUCAUUUAGUUCAAAUGCCAUCCAUGGUGCUCUGUCCGUCACUCCGUCCAAGUCCCAAAUGCCAUCCUAUCACCGUGAUUUAGUUUAAAUUAUUCUGAAAUGCUUCAAUUCAGUUCACAAGCUUUUCAUUUAUUCUGAAUAUGUUCGACUUGCUACAGAUAACAAGUAAGAACAUUCAACAUUGAGUAUAGAAUUCUGGAAAAAAAGUUUACAUAUUAGCUGACGCAUGCAAUCACUUGGCUACCACAUGUUAAUAAUUUUGCUUUCCUUUUUAUACUUGUAAGAUAAACUGAACAAAGCACUCUAAUAAUUGCAAAAGAAAUUGAUGCAACUGUUGACGCAAUUUAUAGCACUGAUCUGUGACUGAGUCACAUGUCUUCUGAGAUAAAUGUCCAUAUACUAGUUACUCAGUAAAACUGUGGUUUUGUGCACUGCAUUCAUUUAAUUUCUUCCUUAACUAUUGUAUUGGGUGGAAUGUAAUUGAGUGACUGAAAGUAAGCACUGCCUGUAUAUAUUUUGAUUGUUUUGUCUCCCAUGUGAAGGCACUUGUUUGGUGAUUCGGUGGAAAACUUGUCACUUAAAGAGUUGAAGCAGCUUGAGAGCAGCCUGGAGAAUGGCAUUUCAAAGAUCAGGGCAAGGAAGAUAAGAAUGUAUUAAGUUAUCCAAUCCAACCAUGCAUCUUCACACAAACUAAUCAUAAACAAAGGAGUGAGCUGCUGUCUGCAGAGGUCAAUUACAUGGUCAAAAGGGAGACUGAGCUCCAGAAUGACCACAUGAACCUCAAGACUAAGGUAUGCUUAACUGUCAGAAUUCAGAAACAAACUUUUGUUGCAUAUAUAAUAUAGCUACCUAGCCUUAAAAAGUAAAUAAAAAAUCUUUAUACAGUAUUAAUCCUGAAAUCAUGCUUUUCAUUUGUGCCGAUCACUCUGUCCAUCAUCUAUGUCUGAUCUGAUUGAGGAGGGAGAGCAGCAGCUGCAGCAGGUGACCGUGGCGCGGUCUGCCGCCAUGGCAGCGCAAGUGCGGAGCUGAACCCAUUCUUGGAGAUGGACACCAAGUGCUUCUUCCCCGCCGGCCAUUUCGUGGGGCUGGACAUGAGGUGCUUCUUUCCAGGAGGCUUGCAGAUGCUGGAGGCACACCGCCAGAUACUCACCACCGAGGUCAACCUCGGCUACCAGCUGGCGCCACCGAGCAGCGACGGCAUCAAUAAUCCUCAUCAGUUCUAAGCUGCAUGAGGAGAGCUAUUCAGGCGAACUGUCACCGAUAAUGGAAGCUGGCAGUUUGUAUUGUAGUGUUAAACAAUUCAACCAGAUCAGUAUUGUAGUAUAUUUUGUAAAUAUCUCUGUACAUGCCACAUGUUAGUCUUACCAUAUCAGACUGAAUAAGGCUAACGACAAAAAUAAAAUGUGUUGAGCUCGCCAAAGUCCAGGUUGGUGCA
Panicum virgatum (switchgrass) is the source of this 1487-nucleotide long non-coding RNA. RefSeq lists it as uncharacterized. NCBI's taxonomy places the organism in Eukaryota, Viridiplantae, Streptophyta, Magnoliopsida, Poales, Poaceae. The transcript is spliced from 3 exons. The record is from RefSeq and is a predicted model, not a curated record.